Trichechus manatus latirostris (Florida manatee) is the source of this 105-nucleotide small nuclear RNA. Lineage: Eukaryota; Metazoa; Chordata; Mammalia; Sirenia; Trichechidae. The record is from RefSeq and is a predicted model, not a curated record.
GUGGAUGCUUGAGCCACACUUAUACUAAAAUUAUGCAUUCAGAGAAGACUGGCAUGGCCCUUGCACAAGGGUGACAUACAAAUCUGUGAAGAAUUCCAAAAACAA